AAAUCAUGGUAGUCGGUGGGGUAGACCAAUGUUUUUAUUAACAAUAUAAAAGGAAUGUGUGGUGUGAAAGCAACGGUGACAUAAGUACUGACAGUCCGUGGAUGAAUGAUUAUGUGUCCUGAGCACCUCAGGACACAGCAAACUAGAGCAAUUCCACCAAUCAAAUGGCAAGAGAAGUCUAAUCGAAGAACCAUCCUUGUGCUGGAAGGGCAGAAUGAGUCCAGUCCGGGGACUACUGCGGCCAGACUUGGGGAAAUCAAGUUGUUGAAGGUAGCUGUGACUUUAGAGAGGUGUGCAACAGAGACAUUAAGCCAUUUCCGGUGUCUCUACCUUUAAAAUAGUUUAUUACUGGUCCAAAUGUCCAAAGACAAAUAAAGAGAAAACUGUUAUUUCCAUUCAAAUAAUGGAGGAAAAGUAGUCUACAAUUUAAACAGGAAGAUUUGAUGACAUAAAUUCAAUCUACAAUACGCAGCAUGUCGGAAGGUUACUGAUGUGGACACCCUGUGGUUUGCACACUGAGAGAUCAGCCCCCUCAAGAACCUGCUCACUGUUGAUUUUCUCCUUCUGCGCGUGCUCUCCAUCGUCCACAGUGCCCAGCGGGAGCAUCAGCACACUCUUUUGGAUGACAUCCUGGAAUAUAUUGGCAAUUGGUAUGGUUGAUCCAUCCCGGAUCAUAUCUGGUUCUGUUCCAAACACUGAAACACAGGAAAAGAAGGCAUUGAAUAAAUUAAUGAGAAGACUACCCCCAGUGAUCUCCGCAAAUGUCGUGUUCACUUUAUCUUUCUUUCUUUUUUUUUUUUUUCCCACCAUGAAAUUUGGUGGCUGGGAUAAGUAAGCGUCUUGAUAUCAUGCAAUUUAUAUUCUAAAAUAGUCAAUAGAGUCAAGAAGAAAACUGUGGUUGCCUUACUUACUAUUAUCUACUUUUAAAAAAUAUUUUUAAAUAAUAUUUUAAACUAACGUUAGCCUUACAGAAAGUUGCAAAAGUAGUACAGAGAGAGUUCUCAUAUAUUCCUUACUCUGCUUCCCCUA
Molecule: long non-coding RNA, 1029 nt
Filed under: Equus asinus (donkey)
Lineage: Eukaryota; Metazoa; Chordata; Mammalia; Perissodactyla; Equidae
Description: lncRNA (ENSEASG00005038282.1)
Source: RNAcentral